GGGCCCGUAGCUCAGCCAGGUGGAGCACCGGGCUUUUAACCCGGGGGUCGCGGGUUCAAAUCCCGCCGGGCCCG
This 74-nucleotide transfer RNA is filed under the name Candidatus Geothermarchaeota archaeon. RNAcentral describes it as "tRNA-Lys". It matches the Rfam family "tRNA". Rfam says of the family: Transfer RNA (tRNA) molecules are approximately 80 nucleotides in length. Their secondary structure includes four short double-helical elements and three loops (D, anti-codon, and T loops). Lineage: Archaea; Thermoproteati; Candidatus Geothermarchaeota. The record is from RNAcentral.